UGACUUUAUAGGAUUCUAUGUACAGUUAAA
Molecule: non-coding RNA, 30 nt
Filed under: Rattus norvegicus (Norway rat)
Lineage: Eukaryota; Metazoa; Chordata; Mammalia; Rodentia; Muridae
Source: RNAcentral